GGAGGGAUGGCCGAGUUGGUUAUGGCGCCAGGUUAAGGUCAAAUCUUAACAUUAUAUCUGUUCAAGAACGGAUAUGCGCUUCCUGGUGGGGCAACCCUCGUGGGUUCGAAUCCCACUCCCUUCA
RNAcentral lists this transfer RNA (124 nucleotides) under Exophiala aquamarina CBS 119918. It matches the Rfam family "tRNA". Rfam says of the family: Transfer RNA (tRNA) molecules are approximately 80 nucleotides in length. Their secondary structure includes four short double-helical elements and three loops (D, anti-codon, and T loops). The record is from Rfam by way of RNAcentral. Lineage: Eukaryota; Fungi; Ascomycota; Eurotiomycetes; Chaetothyriales; Herpotrichiellaceae.